Molecule: ribosomal RNA, 424 nt
Filed under: uncultured bacterium
Lineage: Bacteria
Description: bacterial SSU rRNA
Rfam family: Bacterial small subunit ribosomal RNA
Source: RNAcentral
UAAGGAAUAUUGGUCAAUGGGCGCAAGCCUGAACCAGCCAUGCCGCGUGCAGGAAGACGGCCUUAUGGGUUGUAAACUGCUUUUAAUCAGGAAUAAACCCCGGUUCGUGAGCCGGGUUGAAGGUACUGGUUGAAUAAGCACCGGCUAACUCCGUGCCAGCAGCCGCGGUAAUACGGAGGGUGCAAGCGUUAUCCGGAUUUAUUGGGUUUAAAGGGUGCGCAGGCGGGCUGAUCAGUCAGUGGUGAAACCCCGGGGCUCAACUCCGGAGCUGCCAUUGAUACUGUCAGUCUUGAAUUCGGUUGAAGUGGGCGGAAUGUGUCAUGUAGCGGUGAAAUGCAUAGAUAUGACACAGAACACCGAUCGCGAAGGCAGCUCACUAAGCCGACAUUGACGCUCAUGCACGAAAGCGUGGGGAGCGAACAGG